UGGGGAAUAUUGCACAAUGGGCGGAAGCCUGAUGCAGCGACGCCGCGUGGGGGAUGAAGGCCUUCGGGUUGUAAACUCCUUUCGACAGGGACGAAGCGUAAGUGACGGUACCUGUAUAAGAAGCACCGGCUAACUACGUGCCAGCAGCCGCGGUAAUACGUAGGGUGCGAGCGUUGUCCGGAAUUACUGGGCGUAAAGAGCUCGUAGGUGGUUUGUCGCGUCGUCUGUGAAAUUCCGGGGCUUAACUCCGGGCGUGCAGGCGAUACGGGCUGACUUGAGUGCUGUAGGGGAGACUGGAAUUCCUGGUGUAGCGGUGAAAUGCGCAGAUAUCAGGAGGAACACCGAUGGCGAAGGCAGGUCUCUGGGCAGUAACUGACGCUGAGGAGCGAAAGCAUGGGUAGCGAACAGGAUUAGAUACCCUGGUAGUCCAUGCCGUAAACGGUGGGCGCUAGGUGUAGGGGGCUUCCACGUCUUCUGUGCCGUAGCUAACGCAUUAAGCGCCCCGCCUGGGGAGUACGGCCGCAAGGCU
RNAcentral lists this ribosomal RNA (529 nucleotides) under uncultured bacterium. RNAcentral's name for it is "bacterial SSU rRNA". It matches the Rfam family "Bacterial small subunit ribosomal RNA", at positions 355 to 895 of the family's 1533-position model. The record is from RNAcentral.